AGUGAACGCUGGCGGUAGGCCUAACACAUGCAAGUCGAACGGCAGCACAGUAAGAGCUUGCUCUUACGGGUGGCGAGUGGCGGACGGGUGAGGAAUACAUCGGAAUCUACUUUUUCGUGGGGGAUACGUAGGGAAACUUACGCUAAUACCGCAUACGACCUACGGGUGAAAGCAGGGGAUCUUCGGACCUUGCGCGAUUGAAUGGGCCGAUGUCGGAUUAGCUAGUUGGCGGGGUAAAGGCCCACCAAGGCGACGAUCCGUAGCUGGUCUGAGAGGGUGAUCAGCCACACUGGAACUGAGACACGGUCCAGACUCCUACGGGAGGCAGCAGUGGGGAAUAUUGGACAAUGGGCGCAAGCCUGAUCCAGCCAUACCGCGUGGGUGAAGAAGGCCUUCGGGUUGUAAAGCCCUUUUGUUGGGAAAGAAAAGCAGCAGGUUAAUACCCCGCUGUUCUGACGGUACCCAAAGAAUAAGCACCGGCUAACUUCGUG
This 491-nucleotide ribosomal RNA is filed under the name uncultured bacterium. Its description in RNAcentral is "partial 16S ribosomal RNA". It matches the Rfam family "Bacterial small subunit ribosomal RNA", at positions 29 to 507 of the family's 1533-position model. The record is from RNAcentral.